Molecule: ribosomal RNA, 497 nt
Filed under: uncultured bacterium
Lineage: Bacteria
Description: partial 16S ribosomal RNA
Rfam family: Bacterial small subunit ribosomal RNA
Source: RNAcentral
GAUGAACGCUGGCGGCGUGCCUAAUACAUGCAAGUCGAGCGAACGGACGAGAAGCUUGCUUCUCUGAUGUUAGCGGCGGACGGGUGAGUAACACGUGGAUAACCUACCUAUAAGACUGGGAUAACUUCGGGAAACCGGAGCUAAUACCGGAUAAUAUUUUGAACCGCAUGGUUCAAAAGUGAAAGACGGUCUUGCUGUCACUUAUAGAUGGAUCCGCGCUGCAUUAGCUAGUUGGUAAGGUAACGGCUUACCAAGGCAACGAUGCAUAGCCGACCUGAGAGGGUGAUCGGCCACACUGGAACUGAGACACGGUCCAGACUCCGACGGGAGGCAGCAGUAGGGAAUCUUCCGCAAUGGGCGAAAGCCUGACGGAGCAAAGCCGCGUGAGUGAUGAAGGUCUUCGGAUCGUAAAACUCUGUUAUUUGGGAAGAACAUAUGUGUAAGUAACUGUGCACAUCUUGACGGUACCUAAUCAGAAAGCCACGGCUAACUACGUG